UGCUGGAACGCGCUUCGGCGCACCCAGAAACCCUUUGUGAACUUAUACCUAUCUGUUGCCUCGGCGCAGGCCGGCUUCUUCACUGAAGCCCCCUGGAGACAGGGAGCAGCCCGCCGGCGGCCAACUAAACUCUUGUUGCUACAGUGAAUCUCUGAGUAAAAAACAUAAAUGAAUCAAAACUUUCAACAACGGAUCUCUUGGUUCUGGCAUCGAUGAAGAACGCCGGAAAUGCGAUAAGUAAUGUGAAUUGCAGAAUUCAGUGAAUCCUCGAAUCUUUCACCGCAUUGCGCCUGGGGAUCCGGAGGGCAUGCCUGUUCGAGCGUCAUUUCAACCCUCAAGCCUGGCUUGGUGAUGGGGCACUACUUCCUCGCGGGAGUAGGCCCUGAAAUUCAGUGGCGAGCUCGCCAGGACCCCGAGCGUAGAGUUAUAUCUCGCUUUGGAAGGCCCUGGCGGUGCCCUGCCGUUAAACCCCCAACUUUUGAAAAUUUGACCUCGGAUCAGGUAGGAAUACCCGUUGAACUUAAGCAUAUCAAUAAUCGGAGGAAAAGAAACCAACAGGGAUUGCCCUAGUAACGGAGUGAAGCGGCAACAGCUCAAAUUUGAAAUCUGGCUUCGGGCCGAGUUGUAAUUUGCAGAGGAUGCUUCUGGCGCGGUGCCUUCCGAGUUCCCUGGAACGGGACGCCACAGAGGGGUGAGAGCCCCGUAUGGUCG
This 711-nucleotide ribosomal RNA is filed under the name Sordariomycetes sp. TC18. Its description in RNAcentral is "eukaryotic LSU rRNA". The stretch from base 488 to 711 matches the Rfam family "Eukaryotic large subunit ribosomal RNA", at positions 1 to 231 of the family's 3401-position model. Lineage: Eukaryota; Fungi; Ascomycota; Sordariomycetes. The record is from RNAcentral.